GAUGAACGCUGGCGGCGUGCUUAACACAUGCCAGUCGAACGAAGCACUUUAUUUGAUUUCCUUCGGGACUGAUUAUUUUGUGACUGAGUGGCGGACGGGUGAGUAACGCGUGGGUAGCCUGCCUUGUACAGGGGGAUAACAGUUGGAAACGGCUGCUAAUACCGCAUAAGCGCACAGCAUCGCAUGAUGCAGUGUGAAAAACUCCGGUGGUAUAAGAUGGACCCGCGUUGGAUUAGCUAGUUGGUGAGGUAACGGCCCACCAAGGCGACGAUCCAUAGCCGACCUGAGAGGGUGACCGGCCACAUUGGGACUGAGGCACGGCCCAAACUCCUACGGGAGGCAGCAGUGGGGAAUAUUGCACAAUGGGCGAAAGCCUGAUGCAGCGACGCCGCGUGAGCGAAGAAGUAUUUCGGUAUGUAAAGCUCUAUCAGCAGGGAAGAUAAUGACGGUACCUGACUAAGAAGCACCGGCUAAAUACGUG
This 481-nucleotide ribosomal RNA is filed under the name uncultured bacterium. RNAcentral's name for it is "partial 16S ribosomal RNA". It matches the Rfam family "Bacterial small subunit ribosomal RNA", at positions 28 to 507 of the family's 1533-position model. The record is from RNAcentral.